AAUUCAUUAUAGCUUGUCAUUGUGCAAUGGUCUGUCUUUACUAAAGUGAGCUCCGCGUCCUCGACGAGCUAUCUGUAAUUGGUUCGCCGACUUAGCGUAAUUAAACGUGACGCCGACCGGAAGUCGCCCCGAUUUUAAACACUUGGGAUUGCGCCGCCCGGCUCCUCCUUGUGGACACAAUGAGCGCCGAAAGGGGAGACUUUACGGCCAAACUUGACAGCUAGUCCGGCGUUAGCCGACUGCGACACCACACGAGCUAGCUAUCUUGCUAUGCCGAGCUAAGCUAAGCUAGCUCACCGAGGCGUCUGGCUUCGGGACUUGGACGCCCGCGUACAGACAGGGGCGCUCCCCAGUCACCCCCAUGCUCCUCCAAUGAAACCCCUCAACUCCAUGAAACGAGCCCCGCAUCCCACUCCUCAAAGCGGUGACGGAGCCUUCCUCCAUGAGCCAGUCUCCUGGCAACCAGCAGCCAAUCAACACGCAGGAUCUCUCUCUGUAGUAACCACAGUGUGGGGCGUGACCAAUCCCACGCACAGCCAGGUAAUCGGAGCGCCACCCAUGGGUCCUGGUGACAGCACUGGUGGUCACAUGAUGCCCGGCGGUGGCGGAGGCGGCGGCCCCGGCAUGGCUGGUGCCAUGGGGCCGCAGUUCAUGAGCCAGCAGGGGUACGGCGACGCCAUAUCCAAAGGUUACGGCCAGCCGCUCAUGUAUGGCCGCCCCAAUGCAGGGUAUAACCCUGCAGCGACCUACGGCAGCAGUUACUCGGGUAACAGCGGUGGGAUGGGUGUGCGCCCCCCCUCAGACUUCACCACCGCCGCCGCCGCCGCUGUGGCCGCCGCUACAGCUACCGCCACUGCCACCGCAACCGUGGCGGCCAUACAAGAGAAACAGCACCAGGACAUUAGCUACGCGCAGAUGGGCGGACCCUCCUCGUACAGCCCCCAGUUCAUGUCACACGGGGGCCCUCGUGGACCCCCGGCCAUGAACCAAGGAGGUAUGGUCUCAAGCAGGUCGGGACUGGUGCCACCCUCUGGCGGGGGCUUGUACCCCUCUCACCCUGGACAUACACAGAAGAUGCACGGCGGAGGAGGAGCAGGCGGGGGAUAUCCUGGUGGAACGCAGGGACUCAAACGCACUUUCCACUCUGAGUUCGGCGGCAACGGCGGUGGGAUGUCGUCCAUGUCAGCGUAUCCUCAACAGCCUCUGCAGUACCCCCCCGGACCGCCGCAAAGGUGCGCCCCCUCGCCCUCGUACUCUGCCGGCCGUAUGCCCCCCAUGGGCCAGUACGCCUCUGGGUCACACAGCAACCCGCCGCCGUUCCCCGCCGGCGCCGGACAGCCCAACCCACCGCAGUACUACAAGUCUGAAGUGUUUAAUGGGCAGACAGGACUGCCCCCUGCAGGCCCAGGAGGAUACAACGCCUUCACUCAAGCAGCGGCCAGCGGGCCCGGGCGGGGCGGAGGAAUGCCCGUGUACCCCAGCUCCCCCAUGGGCGGCAAUCCCACACCUCCCAUGACACCUGGCACCUCCAUGCCGCCUUACCUCUCCCCAGGCCAGGAGACCAAAUCUCCCUACAUGCCACCCGAUGUAAAAAGCAACAUGGGUGGCCCGCAGACUGCCACAGGUAACCCUAGUGACGAUCUGCGCCUGACCUUCCCGGUGCGUGACGGCGUGGUUUUGGAGCCUUUCAGACUGGAGCACAACUUGGCGGUCAGUAACCACGCCUUCCAGCUUCGAGACUCCGUCUACAAAACGCUCAUGAUGAGGCCCGAUCUGGAGCUGCAGUUCAAAUGCUACCACCAUGAGGACCGGCAGAUGAACACCAACUGGCCAGCCUCGGUGCAGGUGAGCGUCAACGCCACGCCUUUGUCCAUCGAGCGCGGCGACAACAAGACCUCCCACAAGGCCUUGUACCUCAAGCAAGUGUGCCAGCCCGGCCGCAACACGGUCCAGAUCACCGUCACCGCCUGCUGCUGCUCCCAUUUGUUCGUGCUGCAGCUGGUCCAUCGGCCCUCCGUUAGGUCGGUGCUGCAAGGACUCAUGAAGAAGCGGCUGCUGCCCGCAGAGCACUGCAUCACUAAGAUCAAGAGAAACUUCAGCAGUGGCACCAUCCCCGGGACUCCCGGCCUAAACGGAGAGGACGGUGUGGAGCAAACGGCCAUCAAAGUGUCGCUCAAGUGUCCAAUCACUUUCCGGCGCAUCCAGCUGCCGGCACGAGGACACGACUGCCGCCACAUACAGUGUUUUGACCUGGAGUCGUACCUGCAGCUCAACUGUGAACGAGGAACGUGGAGGUGUCCCGUCUGCAAUAAGACGGCUCUGCUGGAGGGUCUGGAGGUAGACCAGUAUAUGCUGGGGAUCCUGGUCUAUAUACAGAAUUCCGAUUACGAGGAGAUCACCAUUGACCCGUUGUGCGGCUGGAGGCCGGUGCCGGUCAAGCCUGACCUGCACGUGAAGGAGGAAUCUGACGGGCCGGCGCUCAAACGUUGUCGCACCGUCAGCCCCAGUCACAUGCUGAUGCCCAACGUCAUGGAGAUGAUCGCCGCGCUGGGGCCCGCCUCCUCGCCGUACGCCAGUGCCGGGGCACCGGCUGGGGGCAACAGAGGCAGCCCAGACUACAACAGACCUGGGAGCCGAGGCUUUGCCAGCCAGUCGGGUUUCCCCGAAUUCCCUAACACUCCCGGCACGCCGACCCUGGGGGAGUACCCUUCCUCCGGCCCGCCGCUAUCUUACCAGCACGAGCAGUGCCGCCGAGAGCCAUUAAGCAAGCAUUCAUCCCCGUUUCGCGGCGCACCCUUCCCACAAUGCCUUGCUCCCGCAGCACGCCAACCAGAACCUCGGCGAGGAGAGGAGCGGGGCCGCUUCCCAUAAUGCACGGCUGCACGCCGAGGGCUCCUUCGGUCUGGGGGCCCCCCAGGGAGAGGCGGCCGAUCACUCGCUAGAUCUUCUGCCCGAGCUGACCAACCCGGAUGAGCUGUUGUCGUACUUGGGUCCGCCCGACCUGCCCAGCAACAGCAGCGACGACCUUUUGUCGCUCUUUGAGAACAACUGAGCGUCUCUCCCCGCCUUCCUCUUCCUCUUCAUCUUCUCCUUCUUUGUCAUCUUUGUCGUCGUCAUCUUUGUUUUGUCUUCGAUGUCGUCGUCUCCUCCCUCUCAAUUUGUCACUCGAAUCCGAAUUUUUCACGUAACAUUGGAAGACUGCGGCGUUCCCAGUCCAGAUUGCGCAGCACAACCAUUAUAUUACGAGUAGCAUUUUCCACUCGUAGUAACAUCUUUGGGCUGCUAAUAUACAUUGAAACCGUUGUAGUAACUAACCGCUGUCCUGCAGUAGUAACACUACUCGGUCCUUCGGGGACCACAGAAGAGGUGGCGGGUUACUCGCUGGAUGUGGACAAUUAAAUUUAAUUCAGUUUAGUUAAAAUAUCUUUUCACCAUGUUAAAUUGCGAAUAAUUCCUCACCCAAAAAUGUCCCUAAAGAGGUGUUCUCUUCCAUUCACACAUGUUUGAGCAGUUCCUGCUCUCAGCAUCGCCCAAUCUAAGAAAACGGUUAGCUCCUCAAUCCUGUAUAUAUAAGAUUAAGGAGCCCCCCCCCCCCCCCCCGUACCACUCCCGCUGAGUAAACACAUGCUCGCUUUCUCGAGCAGCCAGUGAGACGCCCGACAAGCGUCUCCGGCAGAGUCUUUAUGAGCAGCCACUUCAGCCGAGGCGCCCUACGCGGCGACUUUCUUACCAUUUCCUGCUUUGUGGGCCGGUUGAAGGACAAUGUUAAGAAAGGGGCGGGCAGCCACAUGGCGAGAGGCGGGGUUUCAGUGAGCCAGGCGACUGACUUCCGGGUUAGCAAAAUAGCCAUCACAAUAACUUUUAUCUCCUAAGAAAUUGGAUUGCCAUCGUGCCAAAGGUCAUCGAUAAUCUUCUGUGCCUCGAGUUAGCUGCGGAAAUCUUGAGGUCCAUGUACACUCUUUGUCAUCACAAGUAGGACAACUUUGGCUCAUUGGGAGGACAGCUGCAUGUUACUCGUGAGGCAAAACUGUUCACUAGUUCACAACUGGGAUAUCGCCGAUACUGACUCGGUGCUCCAAUGGCUUUCAAGGAUCUUUGAAAUGAAACAAAAUGCAAAAUGCUUUAGCUAAUGAAAAUUUUACGGUAACUACGUUAAUGUAGCACAAAUGUGUCAAAGUACUACACUGAAGUGCACCACUCUAAUAUUACUAGUAACAUGAGAAAAUUCUUCUCGUAACCAGCUAGAGCACAGGUGUCAAACUCAAAGCCCGGGGGCCAGAUGUGGCCCACCAGAUCAUUUUAUGUGGCCCACGAAAAGAAAUCAUAUGUGUCAAUUUGCAUGAUCCUUGCUAAAAUCUGUAACGAAAUGUCCAAUUGUGUGUCAGAAGUAGCUUGUCCUACCAUUGUACCAAAUUUGUUGCAUGAAAGCCGUAUGACAAUUUAUGACUUGAUAUCCAUCUUAAGGUUCACGUACUAGUAUGCAGUUUGUCCUCACAAGGGGAGCAACUUUGGCAUACUAGUUGGAUAACUACAUGCUUCUAGUAAGGCAAAAUUCUGCACCGGUUGACAAUUGCAGACGACAAGCACACCCAGUGACGUCACAUUUCCAUUUCUAAAUUCCGUACUAUAUACUGUAGAGUAGUGACAUCCAGCACUUCACUGGUUGUACUAGUCAAGUACAGAAGGUAAGUAGAGCACAGUUUGUCUCACGAGUAACAUGGAGUUGUCCUUCCAGUUAUUCAGCCUUGGUAGUACAUGGCCAAGGAAAAAAAAAAAGCUCAAACGGCUUCCCAUGUUGGAGGCGAACUUGUUGAACCGCUGAGACAACGCCCACAUUCCAUCAUUCCUGUUUGGCAAUGUCGCCUCAUGUGAAUAUUUCCCUAUUUUCAUCGCAUUACGUGUGCUCUUGUUCUUCUUCCUCCUGUUCAUUAUUGUCCGUGUUGAACCUCCCAAUCUAUUUUUUAUUCCCCUAACAGACACUUUGAGGUUCCCAAAACGGCAACAUAAAUGUUGGCUUUUAUUUGGGGUUUUAAAAAAAAAGUGACUAUUGAACUGCAAAUUUACUAGGAAACACGUUUUUAAGAUGUAAACUAUUGCACAUAUUUUGUAACACAUUUUAAUUGCCAUUGUUUUCUAUUUAUUUUAUAAUCAUUAUUAUCAUUGAUUGUACCUGCGAUUGCUUUGUUCAUUUGCUGGAGCUGGAAGAUGAGGAUUAAAACCACAUUAUUUCAACAAA
Hippocampus zosterae (dwarf seahorse) is the source of this 5236-nucleotide RNA transcript. It is a transcript of the gene named zinc finger, MIZ-type containing 2, with no coding region annotated. The transcript is spliced from 20 exons. Lineage: Eukaryota; Metazoa; Chordata; Actinopteri; Syngnathiformes; Syngnathidae. The record is from RefSeq and is a predicted model, not a curated record.